CUCCAGUGCACAAUUGUUUCUGCUCCCCAGGGAGUGGAUUCCUCAUUCUGGUGAACAGGGUCACCAGAUUUCUGUUCUCUGGUCUCUAAGUGUUCAUGUGGGUGACUUCCGGCCGGAAGAUUUGUGUAGUGUCAGUGUUUUUCUGGGGCUUAAAGUUGUGUCCUACAGAGCAGAAUUUUGCGCUCUCCAGUGCACAAUUGUUUCUGCUCCCCAGGGAGUGGAUUCCUCAUUCUGGUGAACAGGGUCACCAGAUUUUUGUUCUCUGGUCUUUAAGUGUUCAUGUGGGUGACUUCCGGCCGGAAUAUUUGUGCGUGUUUACUGCUUUUCCAAGUCCCGAAAAUUGUGCUCUGUGAUAAUUAUGCUGUGACACAGAGAACAACUUCCUUCCUGCCCAGGGAGUGGGAAUUUGCAUCUGAUGGAUUGUAUUUCACUAGGUUCCCAGUCCCUGAUGCCUCAGUGUUGAUCUGAGUGACUGGACAUGGACAUUGGCGCGCCGGAAGCUGGAUGGGAUGGCCUGGACUGAAGAGCAGCAACACUGGAUCCAAGGUGACUGGACAUGGACAUUAGCGCGCCGGAAGCUGGAUGGGAUGGCCUGGACUGAAGAGCAGCAACACUGGAUCCAAGGUAAGAUUUUUAUUGUAUCGUUUAUUAUCGUGUUUUAAUUUUUUUUUCCUUUUCAUUUCAGGUGGCUGGACAUGGACAUUGGCGCGCCGGAAGCUGGAUGGGAUGGCCUGGACCAUGGAUUACUGUAUCCUGGAUAGUAGAUAGAGAUUUUCGUGUUUCAUAGUAGUGCAAACAAAUCAAAUAAAAGUGCACCAUCGCAUAGUGCGAUUUGAUGCCCAGAAAUAUUAUAUUUAUAUUAUAUUAUUUAUUAUAUUAUAUUAUUUAUUAUAUUAUAUUAUUUAUUAUAUUAUAUUAUUUAUUAUAUUAUAUUAUAUUAUAUUGGAUAAAUCGAAAUGUUAUAUUUCUGAAUCAACCAAUAAAGCACUAAAUUUGUA
This is a long non-coding RNA of Phlebotomus papatasi, 998 nucleotides long. RefSeq lists it as uncharacterized. Lineage: Eukaryota; Metazoa; Arthropoda; Insecta; Diptera; Psychodidae. The transcript is spliced from 3 exons. The record is from RefSeq and is a predicted model, not a curated record.